RNAcentral lists this non-coding RNA (29 nucleotides) under Mus musculus (house mouse). Lineage: Eukaryota; Metazoa; Chordata; Mammalia; Rodentia; Muridae. The record is from RNAcentral.
CACAAACCUACAGAGCUCUUCUAUUACUA